Molecule: ribosomal RNA, 587 nt
Filed under: uncultured bacterium
Lineage: Bacteria
Description: partial 16S ribosomal RNA
Rfam family: Bacterial small subunit ribosomal RNA
Source: RNAcentral
UGGGGAAUUUUGGACAAUGGGCGAAAGCCUGAUCCAGCAAUGCCGCGUGUGUGAAGAAGGCCUUCGGGUUGUAAAGCACUUUUGUCCGGAAAGAAAUCCUUGGCUCUAAUACAGUCGGGGGAUGACGGUACCGGAAGAAUAAGCACCGGCUAACUACGUGCCAGCAGCCGCGGUAAUACGUAGGGUGCAAGCGUUAAUCGGAAUUACUGGGCGUAAAGCGUGCGCAGGCGGUUUGCUAAGACCGAUGUGAAAUCCCCGGGCUCAACCUGGGAACUGCAUUGGUGACUGGCAGGCUAGAGUAUGGCAGAGGGGGGUAGAAUUCCACGUGUAGCAGUGAAAUGCGUAGAGAUGUGGAGGAAUACCGAUGGCGAAGGCAGCCCCCUGGGCCAAUACUGACGCUCAUGCACGAAAGCGUGGGGAGCAAAACAGGAUUAGAUACCCUGGUAGUCCACGCCCUAAACGAUGUCAACUAGUUGUUGGGGAUUCAUUUCCUUAGUAACGUAGCUAACGCGUGAAGUUGACCGCCUGGGGAGUACGGUCGCAAGAUUAAAACUCAAAUGGAAUUGACGGGGUCAUAGCUGUUUCCU